Long non-coding RNA from Lotus japonicus, 1202 nucleotides. RefSeq lists it as uncharacterized. Lineage: Eukaryota; Viridiplantae; Streptophyta; Magnoliopsida; Fabales; Fabaceae. The transcript is spliced from 2 exons. The record is from RefSeq and is a predicted model, not a curated record.
AAGUGUAAUACUCCCUUGAUAUGUUUUUAAACUCUGAUAAACGUUUUUACAUAAAACAAUGGGAAAAAUGGGGUGUUACAAAAAUUAUGUUCUGUUUUGAGGCAUCAACAUGUAUCUUCAUGUGACUCCCCUAUCUUUUGCAGCUCAAGCCUUGUUUGUCCUGAAAUAACAUGGAAAAACGAAAAUCAACCAUUUCUACCCCUUUUGAAAUUGGGAAAAACUUAGGUGCAGUACCAUUGCAGUACCAUUGGUACUGUUGGUGCUGUUCACUAAUUAGAAUGUGACAUAUGGAUUAUUAAUUACCCCUCACCAAAUUGAAUUUUAAAAAACUUAACACCGUUUAGCCCUUCCGUUAUCUCUGAAUACUUCUCCUCUGUGCCCAAAACUUCGUUCUCCUCUCCACUCUGCCUCUCACCACCAUUGAGGGAUGGGACCGAAAUUCAAAUCGGAGAAGCUGAAAUCGGACCAUGGUGUGGAGGUGGCGCAUGGGGUGGAGGUGGCGCGACCGCAUGGGGUGGAGGUGGCAGCGACGGUCGUCGAAAACAGCGACAAUCAAUCGAAGGAUGGUGGCUGAUGGUGUCCGCUUACGGUCAGAGAAGCUAUGGAAAGCGGUUUCAUACACGUGGAGGAUUUGGGUUUUUUCAGUGAACUCAGGAGGUGUACCAGUGAUAAUGGGUAGGGAAAAUUGAGGGCUUCCAUUCACACUAUCUUUCUCUCCAUCUUCAGUAUGCAGCAAAUUCAGGUGCUAUACAAGACUUAAAGGAAGUGAUUGAGCUGAUAAAAAUCAAGGCUUGGAAGUGGUUAUUGGCUGUCUAACCCAAUCAUCUGCCUUGAAAGCCUAUAAACUUAUGAUAUUAAAAGCUUUGAGAGUGAAUUUGGACCUUUGCUGUGAUGGGUACCCGAGCUGGGAAUGACAGGUGAAUAUGUUGCAAGUCUAUUAUUGAGUAGAAGGGUGUGUCCAAAUGCAGCUUGUGGCACUUUGAAGAGGAAAAUCACACAAUGUGGUAGUUGUUAGCAAUUGGAUGUAGUUGUUUUUCCAUUGGUUGUAGAUUUUUUAUCUUUUUAUUAAUUAGAAUGAACUCUGGUAGUGUAGGUUCUAUGUAAUGUAGGUUGUUUUGUACCAAAUGGCAAGUGAUAUGGCUAUAUCAUUAGCAUGUAAUGAAAUGAUUUUUCUACAAUGAAUGAGAAUGGAAAUUGAUUUA